UACGUAGGGGGCAAGCGUUGUCCGGAAUCAUUGGGCGUAAAGCGCGCGUAGGCGGCCCGGUAAGUCCGCUGUGAAAGUCCAGGGCUCAACCCUGGGAUGCCGGUGGAUACUGUCGGGCUCGAGUCCGGAAGAGGCGAGUGGAAUUCCUGGUGUAGCGGUGAAAUGCGCAGAUAUCAGGAGGAACACCAAUGGCGAAGGCAGCUCGCUGGGACGUGACUGACGCUGAGACGCGAAAGCGUGGGGAGCAAACAGG
This 253-nucleotide ribosomal RNA is filed under the name uncultured bacterium. RNAcentral describes it as "partial 16S ribosomal RNA". It matches the Rfam family "Bacterial small subunit ribosomal RNA", at positions 524 to 776 of the family's 1533-position model. The record is from RNAcentral.